UACGUAGGGGGCAAGCGUUGUCCGGAAUCAUUGGGCGUAAAGAGCGUGUAGGCGGUUCGGUAAGUCGGCUGUGAAAGUCCAGGGCUCAACCCUGGGAUGCCGGUCGAUACUGCCGGACUAGAGUUCGGAAGAGGCGAGUGGAAUUCCCGGUGUAGCGGUGAAAUGCGCAGAUAUCGGGAGGAACACCUGUGGCGAAGGCGGCCCCCUGGUUGGAUACUGACGCUGAUACGCGAAAGCGUGGGGAGCAAACAGG
RNAcentral lists this ribosomal RNA (253 nucleotides) under uncultured bacterium. RNAcentral's name for it is "partial 16S ribosomal RNA". It matches the Rfam family "Bacterial small subunit ribosomal RNA", at positions 524 to 776 of the family's 1533-position model. The record is from RNAcentral.